This 76-nucleotide transfer RNA is filed under the name Vibrio parahaemolyticus. RNAcentral's name for it is "tRNA-Ala". It matches the Rfam family "tRNA". Rfam says of the family: Transfer RNA (tRNA) molecules are approximately 80 nucleotides in length. Their secondary structure includes four short double-helical elements and three loops (D, anti-codon, and T loops). The record is from RNAcentral. RNAcentral also lists the same sequence under 1 other name. Lineage: Bacteria; Pseudomonadati; Pseudomonadota; Gammaproteobacteria; Vibrionales; Vibrionaceae.
GCGACACUAGCUCAGUUGGUAGAGCGCAACCUUGGCAAGGUUGAGGUCACGAGUUCGAACCUCGUGUGUCGCUCCA